RNAcentral lists this small nuclear RNA (23 nucleotides) under Arabidopsis thaliana (thale cress). RNAcentral's name for it is "snRNA_04666". The record is from RNAcentral. Lineage: Eukaryota; Viridiplantae; Streptophyta; Magnoliopsida; Brassicales; Brassicaceae.
UUCGUUUUCCUUCAUUCCUCGUA